GGUGGUCAGUCGGUUGGAGUCUGCUGGCCAUGCUGCAAGGAGGAAGGGACAGGAAGCAGCGAGCUGGAACUGCAGAAGAAAGAGCCAGAGCUGUGUGGGGUUGUUCGUAUGACUGCAACAUAGCAAAGGGAGUGUCAUGACCAUCUUGACAGCAACAUUUGGUGACACCAGACGUGAUUUGCAAUUGAGGUGCAGCAGAGAUGGAGCCCUGUGAAGCUGAGAGCAGCAGGUGAAGCUGCCAGUCUGGACUUGAUUUUUAUACCUUGAGUACAGGUGAGCCACGGCAAACAUAAUGAUGGGGACUCGAGUAUCAGGAAAAGAUUAUUCAGCUGUGAAGCAUAAUGGAAGAGCGGAGCGAUGAUUGGUUAUAGAUACUGGAAAAGAAAAGAAUGCAAAGAAGUGACACCCUCCUUGAUUGCAAUCUAAACCAAAGAAGACACAAGAUACCAGUAUUUACUAUGGAGUAACUAUGGGAGUGUAACUUUCAGUUUGACAGAAAAAUUUAACUCCAUGUGUUUUGCUUUGUUUUCUGUUUGGGGUCACUCACCAGCUCAUCCCUUGAUUUUUGGUUCAGCAUGAAACAAAAACAUCUAAUUUUUUAGAAUCUGAGUAGAACAAAGCAUUCAGGGCUUUUAGGAUUCCUAGGAUGCUUUGUAGUCAACUCUCUCUUUCCAGACCUAUCAUAAAGGACACCAUGACAGCAAGUUUUCACAAAGUGCUUAUUUUUUCAAAAAGUCCGUAACUAAAAGUGGGAAAUAAUUUUUAAUGUAUCAGUGAAAGAUCUGUACUUAAUUUUACAAAAUAUUUCUUUCUUCAAUAUGAUAUCUUUCUAUUCCCCUUCUGAAUUAUGUUAUAAUUGACAUAUUAAUAUAUUUGAACAAACCUUUUGAAUUUCAGGAAAAAGGAAAUCUCCUAAUGACAGUAAGCACUGAGACAAUAGAACACUUAUCCAUAUUUUCUGCAAAAUAUCUGAAGAUUUAAGGCUUCCUAAUUGAGCAAGUUAAGGAGAGACACUACUCAACAUUUAAAUAUACAAAUCAUCUUUUCUGCAAAGCAGAAAGUUUACCUGUGACAAAAUUAAUCACAUAAUUAGUAAAGUUAAGCAAUUGUUUGUUUGUUUUUAAUUAAAAUUCCAAUGGUCUGUAAUAGGGGGAAAUUGAGAUUUUCAUGGUAAUGCAUUGCGCUAGUUUUUAAAAACUCAGCAGGGAGACCAAGCCCCCUAAAUCUCCCCAUUCUUGACAGCAGAGGUAAAAAUACUAAGAGAUGUUAUAAACUGAGUCACAAUUUAUUGAAGACCUUGCAAUAAACACAGUCAUAAUAGUAAAAAAGAUUUGUACGAAAGAGGAACUGGUUCAACCAACGAAGGCAUGUUGCCACUGCCCUCACCCCAGAAUAACUAAGAAACCAAAAACGCAGCUGCCAAUGCCUGGGCUGGACCACAGCUGGGACUUUCUCUCUGCUGUGGCAGUGCUGGCAGUCUGUAUGUCCCCAAGGUGGUCCAGGUAGUGGAUACCUCUCCUGAGAGCUGGGAAAGAGAAGAGGACCCCUCUGUUUCCACCCAUGGUUUUUAGAGGAGACAAAACCGCUCCCUUCUACAACUUAAGCAAAAGUUCUGCUUCUGGUGCCUCGGUUUCUCCUGCCAAGAACUGUUCCCUUCAAGCUUACAGCACUAAAACUCCAUCCCUUAUUCCUGUAUCUAACACAUAUAUCUCUUUCUAUAUAUGUCUACUAGACAGUAGUAAAAUUGUCAAUGUGUAUAAAUGCAAAUAUACCACAAUGCCUUAAUUUUGAAGUUCUUUAGAUUGUAUAAUGACCUAUAUUUUAAUUCUUUAUUAUUUAUAUCAAGUCUCAGACUUGAAAUUUCUCUCUCAGUUAAAUGGCAGUAAUGACUUCAUGUGACUUCAGCUGAUGGAUAUUAACAGGAAACAAAUGGAAAUGUCAUGGGCUGUACAUUUAUAGAGUGAAUAGCAAUUCAUAUUUGCUGUAAAUAUGGAGGUAUUUGCACUUGAUGUUUAGCAACCUGAUGCUAAUCAAACUAAGUUUGACUAUUUUGUUUAGUCACUGAAAGUUAAUAUAAUUUAUAAAAAUUGUGAA
Molecule: long non-coding RNA, 2094 nt
Organism: Hirundo rustica (Barn swallow)
Lineage: Eukaryota; Metazoa; Chordata; Aves; Passeriformes; Hirundinidae
Exons: 2
Source: RefSeq, a predicted model, not a curated record